This 215-nucleotide unclassified non-coding RNA is filed under the name plant metagenome. Its description in RNAcentral is "partial contains small subunit ribosomal RNA, internal transcribed spacer 1, and 5.8S ribosomal RNA". The stretch from base 147 to 215 matches the Rfam family "5.8S ribosomal RNA", at positions 1 to 57 of the family's 154-position model. The record is from RNAcentral.
GUAGGUGAACCUGCGGAAGGAUCAUUACAAAUCUCGAGUUGGUUCCUCCCGCUAGGGGGGGGCUGGCACAUUAGCACAAGGCCGCGAGGCCUUGAUGUUUACGCUUGUAAGUUUGACAGAGUUUAAAUUGUGACCUUAAAAAUGACAACUUUUAACAACGGAUCUCUUGGCUCUUGCAUCGAUGAAGAACGCAGCAUCUGACUGACUAAGAUUCG